This 463-nucleotide ribosomal RNA is filed under the name uncultured bacterium. Its description in RNAcentral is "bacterial SSU rRNA". It matches the Rfam family "Bacterial small subunit ribosomal RNA", at positions 343 to 803 of the family's 1533-position model. The record is from RNAcentral.
GGGAGGCAGCAGUAAGGAAUAUUGGGCNAUGGAGGCNACUCUGACCCAGCCAUGCCGCGUGCAGGAUGACUGCCCUAUGGGUUGUAAACUGCUUUUGUACGGGAGAAAACCCUCGUUUGCGAACGAGGCUGAUAGUACCGUAAGAAUAAGCAUCGGCUAACUCCGUGCCAGCAGCCGCGGUAAUACGGAGGAUGCAAGCGUUAUCCGGAUUCAUUGGGUUUAAAGGGUGCGUAGGCGGUCUUAUAAGUCAGUGGUGAAAGCCUGCAGCUUAACUGUAGAAUUGCCAUUGAUACUGUAGGACUAGAGUACAGACGACGUUGGCGGAAUAUGACAUGUAGCGGUGAAAUGCUUAGAUAUGUCAUAGAACACCGAUUGCGAAGGCAGCUGACGAGACUGUAACUGACGCUGAGGCACGAAAGUGUGGGGAUCAAACAGGAUUAGAUACCCUGGUAGUCCACACUGU